GACGAACGCUGGCGGCGUGCCUAAUACAUGCAAGUUGAGCGCUGAAGGUUGGUACUUGUACCGACUGGAUGAGCAGCGAACGGGUGAGUAACGCGUGGGGAAUCUGCCUUUGAGCGGGGGACAACAUUUGGAAACGAAUGCUAAUACCGCAUAAAAACUUUAAACACAAGUUUUAAGUUUGAAAGAUGCAAUUGCAUCACUCAAAGAUGAUCCCGCGUUGUAUUAGCUAGUUGGGGAGGUAAAGGCUCACCAAGGCGAUGAUACAUAGCCGACCUGAGAGGGUGAUCGGCCACAUUGGGACUGAGACACGGCCCAAACUCCUACGGGAGGCAGCAGUAGGGAAUCUUCGGCAAUGGACGAAAGUCUGACCGAGCAACGCCGCGUGAGUGAAGAAGGUUGUCGGAUCGUAAAAAUCUGUUGGUAGAGAAGAACGUUGGUGAGAGUGGAAAGCUCAUCAAGUGACGGUAACUACCCAGAAAGGGACGGCUAACUACGUG
This 497-nucleotide ribosomal RNA is filed under the name uncultured bacterium. Its description in RNAcentral is "partial 16S ribosomal RNA". It matches the Rfam family "Bacterial small subunit ribosomal RNA", at positions 28 to 507 of the family's 1533-position model. The record is from RNAcentral.